CAGCUACUCAGAAACCUGAGGUGGGAAAAUCGUUUGAGUCCAGGAGUUUGGGGUUAAUGCAGCAAGACCCUGUUGCAAACUAAAACAAAAACCUGGUUAAAAGAAAUUGAGCUCAGAGUCAAAUGCCCUGAAAACAGACAGUUCAGACAUUUCUGGCCACCUCCAGCACACACUUAAUGUCAUAAUCUCUGUCUUCAGACACUGGAUGAUGCUAGGAGAGCA
This 222-nucleotide long non-coding RNA is filed under the name Marmota monax (woodchuck). The record is from RNAcentral. Lineage: Eukaryota; Metazoa; Chordata; Mammalia; Rodentia; Sciuridae.